RNAcentral lists this transfer RNA (70 nucleotides) under Megathymus beulahae beulahae. RNAcentral's name for it is "tRNA-Ile". Lineage: Eukaryota; Metazoa; Arthropoda; Insecta; Lepidoptera; Hesperiidae. The record is from RNAcentral.
AAUAAAGUGCCUGAAAAAGGAUUAUUCUGAUAGGAUAAAAUAUGUAAUUAAUUUAAAUUUACCUUUAUUA